GCCAUAUUAGGUGUUCAGUGUGUACCUGUGGCACAUGAGCUGUCAUGGCAUCCAGGGAGUUCUCUUGAGGGAGGAUGUAUGAGGACUGGCAGGGUUGGGCAAACAGUCCUUUGCAACUUAGAGGACAAGGCAUGACUUUAACAAAUGGAACGGAGCCAGCCUGUUAGGCACACUUCACUGCCCAUCCUGAGGGCAGCCAAGGCCAAGGCCCUCAGGCAGAGGAGUGACAUGCUCAGGUUUGUGUUCUAGAGUGACCACUCUGGCCGCAGUGUGGAGGAGGAGCUGGAGCUGGGAGAGGCUGAAGGCAGGGAGUCCAGUUAGGAGGCUGGUGCCUAGACCAGGUGAGCUGAGAGAAGGUCCUGGCCCAGGCUGGUGGCUGCUGGGGCUCGUCCCAAGGAGGGGCUCAUCCACAAUGGUCAUAGAAACUGGGGAGCAAAGCUGUUGCUUAGGCUUCUGGCUUAGGUAGCCUGUGAUGCCUCAUAGACCAGUGACUCCCACAGGAGGAGGAGGGAGAGCCGACCAGUGGUGGCAGGUGGUGCCCAGAGGCAGGAGGAAGGCACUAGUCUUGAAUCUGGCUGUAACCGUGAACACAGCAACCAGAGUGCCUUGGUAGAAAAGGAAGAGCCCAGCCUUUCUGUCAGGGUCCCUGUCAGACUCCCCUCACCCCAUUCCCAUCAUGCCUCCAUCUCUGCCCCUCACCCCAGGCAUUCAUGGCUUGAGACUGAGGGGCUGCAGUGGGCCCCACACACACACCUUGACCUGCCUUUCAGUGGGCACUGUGCAGCUUCCUAGUGCUGGUGCAUCUGACUAGACCUCUUUAUGUUUCUCCCCCUGCUGCAGAUGGCGGUGGGCCCCCCUGACUGCCCUGUGGGUGGACCGCUGGCUUUCCCUGCCAGGGGUUCUGGUGCCAGUGUUGGGGCAGCUCUGACCCCCCUGCCUCCUCCCAAGAUGCCUCCACAUACAAUCCUGAGCACCGUCCCUCAGCAGAUGUUCAGCGAUGCCGGCAGCGGAGAUGAUGCCCUAGACGGAGAUGAUGACCUGGUGAUCGACAUCCCGGAGUAGCCACUCAGUGCUACCUGCCAGGCACCCCGCCCAGUGCUCCUCCUGAGCCAGCACACUGAGCCCACUUCCUCAAGAGAUGUUUAUUGAUGCCCAGUUGCCAUGCUUCGGCCACUGACACAAUCAGAAAAGGCGUAAACAUGCACAAAUGUCCCCGAGGAAGGUGGCAGGGGCCCUGCCCUUACACCCACCCCCAUCCUGGGAACAAUUAUUUAAUGAGUGGCCAAAAGGGUCUGCUACAUCUUAGGAAGGUAGAGAC
RNAcentral lists this long non-coding RNA (1318 nucleotides) under Rattus norvegicus (Norway rat). RNAcentral describes it as "long non-coding RNA NONRATT003177". Lineage: Eukaryota; Metazoa; Chordata; Mammalia; Rodentia; Muridae. The record is from RNAcentral.